This 117-nucleotide ribosomal RNA is filed under the name uncultured bacterium. Its description in RNAcentral is "partial 16S ribosomal RNA". It matches the Rfam family "Bacterial small subunit ribosomal RNA", at positions 1383 to 1500 of the family's 1533-position model. The record is from RNAcentral.
GUACACACCGCCCGUCACACCAUGGGAGUUGGAAAUGCCCGAAGUCAGUGGCCCAACCGGAAGGGGGAGCUGCCGAAGGCAGGUUCGAUGACUGGGGUGAAGUCGUAACAAGGUAUC